RNAcentral lists this ribosomal RNA (106 nucleotides) under Pteropus alecto (black flying fox). The record is from RNAcentral. Lineage: Eukaryota; Metazoa; Chordata; Mammalia; Chiroptera; Pteropodidae.
GUCUAUGGCCAUGCUACCCUGAAGUGCCCAAUCUCAUCUGAUCUCGGAAGCUAACCAGGGUCAGGCCUGGUUAGUACUUGGAUGGGAAUACCAGGUGUUGUAGUCA